GACGAACGCUGGCGGCGUGCUUAACACAUGCAAGUCGAACGGAAAGGCCCUGCUUUUGUGGGGUGCUCGAGUGGCGAACGGGUGAGUAACACGUGAGUAACCUGCCCUUGACUUUGGGAUAACUUCAGGAAACUGGGGCUAAAACCGGAUAGGAGCUCCUGCGGCAUGGUGGGGGUUGGAAAGUUUCGGCGGUUGGGGAUGGACUCGCGGCUUAUCAGCUUGUUGGUGGGGUAGUGGCUUACCAAGGCUUUGACGGGUAGCCGGCCUGAGAGGGUGACCGGCCACAUUGGGACUGAGAUACGGCCCAGACUCCUACGGGAGGCAGCAGUGGGGAAUAUUGCACAAUGGGCGGAAGCCUGAUGCAGCAACGCCGCGUGCGGGAUGACGGCCUUCGGGUUGUAAACCGCUUUCGCCUGUGACGAAGCGUGAGUGACGGUAAUGGGUAAAGAAGCACCGGCUAACUACGUG
RNAcentral lists this ribosomal RNA (468 nucleotides) under uncultured bacterium. RNAcentral describes it as "partial 16S ribosomal RNA". It matches the Rfam family "Bacterial small subunit ribosomal RNA", at positions 28 to 507 of the family's 1533-position model. The record is from RNAcentral.